GAGGGUAUAACUCAGUGGUAGAGUGUAUGCUUAGCAUGCACAAGGUCCUGGGUUUAAUCCCCAGUACCUCCA
This 72-nucleotide transfer RNA is filed under the name Camelus bactrianus (Bactrian camel). It matches the Rfam family "tRNA". Rfam says of the family: Transfer RNA (tRNA) molecules are approximately 80 nucleotides in length. Their secondary structure includes four short double-helical elements and three loops (D, anti-codon, and T loops). Further hydrogen bonds mediate the characteristic L-shaped molecular structure. tRNAs have two regions of fundamental functional importance: the anti-codon, which is responsible for specific mRNA codon recognition, and the 3' end, to which the tRNAs corresponding amino acid is attached (by aminoacyl-tRNA synthetases). tRNAs cope with the degeneracy of the genetic code in two manners: having more than one tRNA (with a specific anti-codon) for a particular amino acid; and 'wobble' base-pairing, i.e. permitting non-standard base-pairing at the 3rd anti-codon position. Lineage: Eukaryota; Metazoa; Chordata; Mammalia; Artiodactyla; Camelidae. RNAcentral also lists the same sequence under 1 other name. The record is from Rfam by way of RNAcentral.